This 49-nucleotide ribosomal RNA is filed under the name Lividopora vincta. RNAcentral's name for it is "Rigidoporus vinctus partial 28S ribosomal RNA". Lineage: Eukaryota; Fungi; Basidiomycota; Agaricomycetes; Polyporales; Cerrenaceae. The record is from RNAcentral.
AUCUGACCUCAAAUCAGGUAGGACUACCCGCUGAACUUAAGCAUAUCAA